Schistocerca piceifrons (Central American locust) is the source of this 1027-nucleotide long non-coding RNA. RefSeq lists it as uncharacterized. The transcript has 3 exons. The record is from RefSeq and is a predicted model, not a curated record. NCBI's taxonomy places the organism in Eukaryota, Metazoa, Arthropoda, Insecta, Orthoptera, Acrididae.
CGGUAGGAAGAUCAAGAAAUUUUGCCAAAAUAUUAUUAGUGAUUCUUGAGUUUCUCCCGGCGUAUAAAAUAUUAUUACGUCAAUGGAGUCAUAACAUUUCAUUCUGCAGCUGAAAGGAAAUUAAUAACAUGAGAUUACUCUUGCUGAUGAACCAGAUUUCUACCCUGCUCAACACCACGCAGCAGCUCUUCGCCAUCACUGCAUGCCCGACAGAACUAGCACUGCCUACUACUACUUUUCAAGAGUUUAGUGAACAAGACGAGGAAUGGCUCGAGUGGCUGAACCAGUUCAAUGUGCGUAUGGUAGCUCACAACGUCCCAGAUUCAUGAGUCCAGUGGACAGUGUGGCAGCAGCAGCCACCAGAGAUUGUCAUCACGACACCGUGGGAUGAGCCCAUGGAGACAGCCUUCACCUCCUCUCCCUCCUCUCGUCCUACCGAUGGAGCUGGAUCCACCUACACUGCAGCAGUCACUGCCUCCUUCAUCUGGUUCAUAGCAGCAGGAGGUGGACGUGUACCCUUCUGGUCACUUUCCGGGGGAUGUUCCUGCCAGAACGCAGGCCGGAUGGUGGGGUACAGCCAUAAGCUGAUCGUCCCCUGCAGCCAUGGCUUCCGGUCCGUCAGUGUCCACACUCCUGCAUCCCCUGUCAUGGUCGCACACCAUAUCCGACGAGUCUGUUGCUUUAGGGGAGGGGGGGAGGAAUAUUCUGGCAUAAUUACAGGUGCUGGAAUGUAGAUACGGAAUGCAAAGGCAGAGAAGGCACUGAGGUAACACUGGCCAAUUGUCGCACCAAGAACAACACCUAAAAGAAGGAAACAUAAGCAUCGCUCCUGCUAGUCUCAGCAGCUCAGAUCGGCACCGGAUUGCGGACAUUGGUUAUCAGUGACGUGUGACAACUUGCCUGAACAGUUCACAUAUCAAGGACUCUAAAUUAUAUUGCAAGUCACCCCUUGUUUGCAACUACUACUUGUAAAUCUCCAAAGUUAAGUAUUGUGAAUUGCUUUAUAGAAAUAAAAUGACUAAAGUUA